AGACGUGCGGCGCCGUUGUCGCCGUUCUGUGCGCGAGUGCCGUUGCGCGACGCGCGGCCUCGAAGCAACGCCCCAGCGCGGUACCGCCCCGCGGCCGGGCGGUGUAAGCGGGGCCUCGAGCGGAGGGGACUUGCGCUGGUUGGUCGCGUUAGCGGUCAAACAGAAGUUAAAGCUAUUAAAGAGGGCAUUAUCCGAAUGCCUCAUGGACGGACAUGGAGCAGCAGCCACCUCGCUAGGAAGUCUCUGUCAGUGUUUGACCGCUCUCACUGUUGAGAAGUUUCUCGUAAUGCCAUGUCUGAACCUCCCCUAUAAAUAUGGAUAAAUAUGGGUAUGUUAUAAAUUGAAAAAUACAGGAAGAAAAACUGCUUUAGCUGUUUGAUUUGGAGAAGGAACUUUUGUUUCCCGUAUGCAUUCCACUGCAGGACACCACUGCAAGUUCCUUUGCACAUAAUUCGGAACUAAUAAAAGCCAAACUGAUUUUUACAGAAGGGCCGUGAUGGGGGAGUUCUUUUUUUCUUCCAUACCCGCAGAUAACCAGUUCGGAUUUAUAUAAAGACAAAAAAUGGUUUGAACUCAGGCUCUCCUUCAGCGUGCCUCAGUGGGUAUGAGUUUCCUUGCAGCAGCAGGAGGAAAAAAGUCACCGUUGUGCGGAACUUCUUUUUUUUUUUUUUCGAUUAUUCAAAAGCCUCCUUAAUAAUACAGAACAGCUGAGGGGAUUCGUGUGAUUUUAUUCCCUGUCGAAGUCGCUGAGCAAUUACAUCCAGCCACAGGGCUGUGCUUGCGCUGCUGCCGGUUGUUGCUGGGUUCUCUCUGAUGCUUUGGAAGCUGUGCCCUCCCCAGCCUAACAUGCAGGCCUAUCGUUGGACAAAUCGAGGCUCCUUUGUUCUGAUGUUAAGCGCUAAGCCCUGACAACAGAGAACAAAAGGUCCAAGAACAGCUUGUGCUAAAGGCAAAACUUUCCUUUGCUUCGUCGUAAUUCUUCCUUGUUGGCUCUGAGAACCUUGGAGGAUCUUGGUAGCUGCCUCCUAGCGAGAGCAGAAAAUGUUGCAGUGCAAGGGCAAGACCUGAGGCUAUUUCUUUGGGUAUUAUUUCUGCUUAAGAAGACGUGUUCCUUAAAUGACCAGUUGACAAAGCAGAGUGAAAAUGGACAUCUGAACAACUUUUAGGUGCAGAAUGAUACAUCACAGGAUUGAUACGUUCUCAGCUUUGCUCCGGGGCCUGAGGAGAAGGAUGAUAUUCUCAUGCUCCAUAGGGAGCACGUCCCUCUCACUGGGAGCUGGCAGGACAAGCCCUGAGCAUUGCCUGGAAGCUGAGCCCCAGCCCCAGCCCAACCCGGAGCCUCUGGCAGUGGCGGGCAGGAACCUCACCAAGAUGCACGCGCAGACUGGGACGUGAAUGCAGAGUGCUGCCUCCCUUCCAGAAGGACACACGGGUGCAUCAUCUGUAUGUAAAUUAAACUUACAUCCAAGCUGCUGUCCUUAACUGCUGUAGUCCAAGUUACAAACUGAAUAAUUUAGACAUCUUAAAAGAUGUCGGUGUUAGUGGGUUGCUGAGGUCAUAGGGAAGGUGCUUCUUUGCUUACCUCCCUUGCCUCUGCAGAAACCAGCACUGGUUGCUUUCAAGAGAGCAGCCAGUCUGAAGUUCAUUCACUUCCCUUAAGCUUUCUGUAGAUAGGUUCCUUCUUCCAAAAGAAAUCGGACUGCCUUCCCUACCAUCCUUCCUCCCUUUAGAAGAAGGCUGCCUUGGUCUCUUCCUGACUAUUCAGGACUGUCAGUUGUACACCUCCACAUUGGUCUCUUGCCCUCCUGUUGACACUCAGUGAUUUGCCAAGGGAUUAAUUUUUAGAAAAGACAGGUAACAUACAGCAUUAUUGUUUAUACUUGUCAGCUGAGACGCAAGUUCUUAUUUCUGACACAAAUUUUGAGCAGCUCAAUGGAUCUGAGUUGCAGGAUUCACUUCAAAUGUAGUCAGCUGAUGUCAGGUGAGAGUAUGUUGACUGAACUUAAAACUGAUUAAACUUUACUAUGGCACAGCCAGCAUGGGAAGCCCACCUUUGUUCUUGGGAGAGAGGGAGCACUUGAGAGUUAUCAGAGUUAUUUCAAAGCAAUGGGUUCAAAAUGAAGAACUAUAAACUGGUUUUAUAAAAUAAUAGCAUCUUUGAAUACCACCAAAUAGGGAAAGCAGUAGUGAGGAAGUAGGUACACCACUGGUAGGUAAAAAUAUAGAACUUUUUAAGAAUAUCUGAACAUUCCCUAUGAUUGGGCAGGAAAACAUCCUACUGCUUUUAGCAGCACGUUCUGAUCAAAGCAGCUGUUCAAAUGUCAGGAUCCCCUAAGAUCUGACAAUUGGGAAGAAAACCAGACGUGGAUUCAAUCAUAUAUCUUUUACGCAAUUAGACUUACAGGAAUGUACAAAUCCUGCUUCUGUGACUACAAAAAAUAAUCAAACAACCUGACAGCUUCUUCACUUACUCUUUCAAGACUUUUUCUGCCAGAAUCUUAAUCCAAGAGUCACCUCCAGGCUUCCCACAAGCUUGCACAGCAGAGUUGCAUAGACUGCCGAAGAAGCUGCUUUUUCUCUCUUUCAGUGUGUGGUCUCACUCCUCCUCUCCCCAAGCCACAUCACACACGCAAACAGGCACAGCAAUGUGUGUGCACACACAGACACACACUUUUUCAGGAACCUCAUGCAGCCAAAGUAUCUCUGUUCAUACUGUUCAAAUUCCUGAGCAGCUAUGUCUUGCCUUUAUUUUGUGCUGAGAUCCUAAGAAUUUAAGAGUCCUGGGGACUCUUAAAAGUAGUAAAAGUACAACCUUGAUCCAGAGACUGUAGUGUUAGGUGUCAUUGUCCCUAAAAGUGGGCAGAUAUGGGCCCUCAGAUGAUUUUUCUUCUCUCCAAUGAAUGUGCAGUGGGAAAUAGACUCUUCUCUUUUCCAUUGGAGUGUUGUAAGGAAGGGGGCAAUCUCCUUGCUCAUCCUAAGUGAAGGGGCAUGAUUCCCUCUCAAGCUCCAGGCCCAACCCUGCAGCUCAGCUCCUUGCUUACAAACAGAACAUGUGAUGUGUGUGGCCUCACCUCUCACAUACGGUUUGUGAAAAGCCAUAGGCAAAGAAGUAUGAAGAGCUAGAUAAAAACAAAGCUAAAUUCCCAGACUGGGUUACUUCCAAACAGGUAUAGUAUCUACAUUUAGCUGUCUAAUUUCUGAUCUCCUAGUACUUCUAAGAUUCAAUACUCUGAGAUAGUAGUUUUUUUCUGGAUCUCGUUCUUAAAAUUCUUGCCUAUAUGCAGCUAAAGAUUAGACCGUUAUUUAUAAUGCCUUUGGUUCUGAUAUUCUUUUUCAGUCAGACUUGAGCAGUUUACCCAGAGAUAUGAAUCUUCAUGUUUCCAUUGUGAAUGGAUCUGCACUGGACCCUGAAGGUGUGAACCCCUGGCACAUAGCUCUGGUAGGCUUGUACUCUUAGAUAAUUUUAGGUACGUAGGGGUGCCAAAGAGUACUUGGGUUUGGAGUGCAAGACUGCUUGUAUGAACAGUAAAUACCACAUGAACUUUCACUGGUACAAAACACCUCUGUUAAAAGAGACUGUGCAUGAAACAUUUUUUUCAAACAUCUCCUUUACUGGAAAAAGAAAUUUUGUUAACAACAGGAGUUUCACUCUUCUCUUUUCUUAUUUUUACUAUUAAAGCUUCCAUAUACCCCUGUUCCCUAUUUUCCAUUUGUGGAACUCAGCAGUAGUGAUUUUGUUCCCAGAGACAACACUACACAGACUUGCUUAAGUUGGAGCUAAGUGGAGAGACAAAAAGAAAACCCAACUAUAUCCCAUUCAAAUCCUGGUUUCUUUACACUUUACAGGCACAAGUUUCUUGGGUAGGAAAGGAAAUAGAGAGUUCUUCUCUUCCUGUUUGCUUGCAUUCUUUGUUAAUCCAUCACCGCUCCACCACCUCUCCCAUUCAGAGCAGUAAUGUGGUGGUGUCUCUGAGGAGUCUGAGAGCAGUUGCAUCACUGCAGAGAGCAAUGAGUUGCACUACGUGUGGCAGAAAUGGGAUACAGGAACUGAUGGAAGGAAGGAGAGGAGCUGAGCCUCUCCUGACCAGCACAGUUGUGCAGAGCUGGGGGUCAGCCAGUGACCAUGUCCAGACCAUCCCAGUGUAGGCUGUGGCCUGAGUGAUGGGAAUAGAAGGGAGACUAGUCCUCUUUCCCUUGCACUAUGUCUUCCCAAGAUGCUGUUUUGUUUUAAAGGUGUAAAAUGGCCUUCAAGUAGUGAUAAAAUUAUGCUUGAGAGAGAAUAUUCCAUAUUAACUAAACACUGAUUUGGGUUUUUUGCAGAUGAAAUGUAGAAUUCAGUUUGGAAAUGUGCCGUGCAAGUUCCUGGAGAUCUCAAGUACUGGAGAGUUAGUUACUUCUCCUGACUGAAAUUCACCCUGCAGACUAGUGUGAAAAGCUUUAAACAUCAAUACAUAUUGCCUUAUAAGGUAUUUUUUUAAAAUCCAAAACAACGAAUGUAGCUUUUCAAUCACUCUAGCAAGUAAUGACCACACAAUGGUAAUGAAAGGCAUUUGAGGAUUAAAAUGUGAGUGACCAUUACAUCUAUUUUUAGUCAGUAUAUUUACAGUAUUGAAUAACUGACUUCCCUCAUGUGCAUUGUGUCCUGAUUUCUGGGCCAUCCACACUGCUAAAUGAUAGUUUGUUCCCAGCAGCUUCUUAAUUCCUUCAAAAAAAACCUGAAAUGUACUGUUGGGUCUUGUGGUGCCAACUGAAAACCCAGGGCAAAUGUUAUGUGCUGCACGCGCCAUAAAUCUAGUCAGGAAUGAGUCUGCUCUCAUCUCCAAAGAAACUGAUGAAAAACCAUGCUGGUGCUGGUGCAGGGUAUGAGCACGACACUAACUGGUGUUUGAAAGUGCAGACAAAAGACAGAGGGGCAAGAUAGCAUGUACAUUGUGGUGAUAUACAGUUGUCUGUCAUCCAUCAGAAAAGAUUUUCUGAGAACAGUACUACAGGGUCAUGUUUUCAUUGGGUGAAAUGAGCAGUUAGAUUUCUGUUUAUUUGGAUACCCUGAUACUUCGAUGAGAUACUAGAAACCGCAGGAAAUUAAAAUGAGCAAUAUGCUUAGAAUAAGCACUGUCUAUUUGCAAGUCCUCCUACCAGUUUCUCCCCAAGAUAUUGAGAGAAGAAGCUGUACAGGUGGCCAAGAGGGGCACUGAGUUUUGGCUGUAUGCUGCACAUGAGGCCCUGUCUUGGAGAAGGCAGAGACAACAGAGCAAUUGUUUAAACUAUUUAAAGGGAGCGAGAUGAUGUUCAAAGGUCUCAUUAAAUUCCAGGCUUAAAAGUACAGUGGGUAGAAAAGCCAUUUUGCUGGUAAAUGUGUCCACAUUUUUUUGCAGGCUCAUACAAAUGAAAUGUAAGUCCUAAACUUUGGAAACUUGUCACUACCCAAUGCAGACAGGAUGUACUGACACACAAGCAAGGAACUCCACAUGCAAGAAAAAAUGCAAUAGCAAGAGAGAAAACUGGAAUACUUAAGAAAAUGGUAAUUUUAGGUAAAAGAAAACCAAUUAAAUGCAAGUAAGUUGUCUUUAGGGGACUGGAGAGUUAACCCAUUUACAGACAAUGUGCCAUUUUCAAAAAUAAAUUUUCUCACACAUGAGAGCAUUGAGUUGUGGAGAAGAUUAAUCUCUUAUCUAUGUUGUGUUUGUUUUGAAAAUUCAGAGCUGUAUGAGACUAACAGAAUGAUUUCCCAGUAGCUCUGAAAUACUCUAACAUGUCUUCUAGAGUUCCUACAUGAACUUCUUUGGAGUCUCUGGGAUAACUUCAUAAAUUCUACAACAGAAUUGACGUUUGCAUUUGCUAGGAUAGAAGAUGUUGAUACGACUCAUUUUUUAGGAUCAUUACUAGAUGUAGCAAAUAAAGAGGAAAUACUAGAGAAAGAAUCAACCUUAAAUACUACUCACAGCAACUUAUUACGAGGUCCUAUCUAUGACAUGGAAAAAAUGGCCUCUUUCUUACUGCUAGUGAUUUCACAUCCAUAAUGAAACAGUAAAAUAGCCAAAUUUGUUGCUGUUGCAAGGCAGCUUCCAAGAAUGCUGUAGUUAGCAACCAGAGACUGAAACUAUGCCAGAAAAAAUGGAUGAAGCAUAUGCAUUUUGGUAAAAGAAGACAAUACUUCUCAGUGUGUUCCCAAAGUCCUUUAAUAAUUUUUAAGGCUGAAAAUGGAAUAGCUAAUUUCUGCCAGAAAUUUGCUUGUGGUAAAGAUUCAUGGAGCUCACUCCUGAAAACUGGUGGAAAACUGAAGAUGUAAGAUAAGACGUAAGCUCAAAAUGCUUUCAGCAAAACUGAGUUCUUGUAAAACAUGUUCACAUUUGCAUUUAGCAUCUUUUGGCUGAUUUCACAGAAUCAUAGAAUCAUAGAAUGGCUUGGGUUGGGAGACACCUCAAAGAUCAUCUAGUUCCAACCCCCCUGCUGUGGGCAGGGUUGCCAUCCACUAGAUCAGACUGUCCAGUUUUGAUUUGGUCAAAACUUCCUCCUAGUUCAGUGCAGGGAAGCAAGAGAAUAAUGGAUGAGAGUCAAUAUCAUCCGAAGUUGCAUAUUGGCAAGUUCUAAAUUGUUAGUGGAACAGGAGACCCUGGUGUGUUCUAUUAUAAUGGAGCAGUGCAAAACUUUCAUAUCUUGAAUGAUUGUGUGAUUUAAUAUGCUUAGAGUUAUAAAGCAUGUACUCAGGUGUUCCAUCAAUGCAUUUCUCACUGUCCAUUUCUUUGGUAGGAAAAAAAUUGAAGUACACAUCUGGGCAGGAAAGUAACAACUCUGAUAUUGCUAAAUUCAUCCUUGUAUCCCUAAAAAUGAUGACAGUAAGAACAUUUAUAUGUAUUCAUGAUACCUUCUUGCCUCUUGGAGCAGUCCUCAGAGACAUAAUUCACAAUGAAAAGGCGUUCUUUAAAAAGUAAAUAACAAAAUAUUUGAAAACCAUAAAGCCAUUAUGGAGCUUAAAUGGUCUACUUACUUCUCCUGUACAAAUUCUCUACUAGUUUGUUCAUAAUGCUGGAGGAUGUUUCUGGAUUCCAGGGGCAUGACUGGGUAAACAAAUAGCUAGCACUUACAUAGGGUUAACAGGGCUACUGGAACCCAGGAAGAAUAUCUUGGGAAGAAGAUAAUGAAUUGCCUGUGAGACAUGAACCAGUAAAGUAGCUGAAUGGAACAUCAGCUGAAUCUGUUCUUUCCCUGUGAUUACCGACAAAUUAAAGUGUUCUGUAUACCUAUA
Long non-coding RNA from Gallus gallus (chicken), 7246 nucleotides. RefSeq lists it as uncharacterized. The record is from RefSeq and is a predicted model, not a curated record. The transcript is spliced from 3 exons. NCBI's taxonomy places the organism in Eukaryota, Metazoa, Chordata, Aves, Galliformes, Phasianidae.